RNAcentral lists this unclassified non-coding RNA (336 nucleotides) under soil metagenome. RNAcentral's name for it is "partial contains 5.8S ribosomal RNA, internal transcribed spacer 2, and large subunit ribosomal RNA". The stretch from base 1 to 120 matches the Rfam family "5.8S ribosomal RNA", at positions 35 to 154 of the family's 154-position model. The record is from RNAcentral.
GAUGAAGAACGCAGUGAAAUGCGAUAAGUAGUGUGAAUUGCAGAAUUCAGUGAAUCAUCGAAUCUUUGAACGCACAUUGCGCCCCAUGGUAUUCCGUGGGGCAUGCCUGUUCGAGCGUCAUUUACCCCCUCAAGCUCCGCUUGGUGUUGGGCGUCUGUCCCGCUUCGCGCGCGGACUCGCCCCAAAGGUAUUGGCAGCGGUCGUGCCAGCUUCUCGCGCAGCACAUUGCGCUUCUCGAGGCACCGGUGGGCCCGCGUCCAUCAAGCUCACCCCCCCAGUUUGACCUCGGAUCAGGUAGGGAUACCCGCUGAACUUAAGCAUAUCAAAAGCGGAGGA